This 254-nucleotide ribosomal RNA is filed under the name uncultured bacterium. RNAcentral describes it as "partial 16S ribosomal RNA". It matches the Rfam family "Bacterial small subunit ribosomal RNA", at positions 524 to 776 of the family's 1533-position model. The record is from RNAcentral.
UACGUAGGGUGCAAGCGUUAAUCGGAAUUACUGGGCGUAAAGCGUGCGCAGGCGGUUGUGUAAGACAGAUGUGAAAUCCCCGGGCUCAACCUGGGAACUGCAUUUGUGACUGCACAGCUGGAGUGCGGCAGAGGGGGAUGGAAUUCCGGCGUGUAGCAGUGAAAUGCGUAGAUAUGCGGAGGAACACCGAUGGCGAAGGCAAUCCCCUGGGCCUGCACUGACGCUCAUGCACGAAAGCGUGGGGAGCAAACAGG